ACUGAAGAGGCACUGCUGAGAGGGGAGAGCACAGAGCUGGUGCCUUUGUGUACCCACAGCAGAAUUCCAGAUAACAUCCCUGUGUCAGGAAGUCGCAGUAGGAGUUCCAUCGGACUGCCUCAUCCUGUCUGCUGUCCGGCAGAAGUUACCUCAACUGACUCCACAGACAAGUUGUAGUUGGUGUGCAGACAUUCAGCCAGCUCUUCAGUCAACCCAGCCAUUCACCAUGAUAAUAGCAAGAAGUGAAUGUGCUUUUAUAACCUGGCCAAAUUUGCAGGAGGCUUCACCUCUCCCAAACGUCAGGAAAUCAGGAGACUCCCCGCCUUACAGUAGAGCUCCCCGGACAGCGAACAAGAGAAAGGGGUGAGUCCUGAAUAAUCCACGGCUGUUGUUAUAUAAUCAGCUCUGCAGGAAAUGUUAAAAAUAAAUGCUCUUAAGAGGAAUCAUACAUUUAUUUCAUGUUGCCUGAUUUCUAACAAAUAUAUUGAGUUUGAGGAAAAUCUUUUUUAGCUAGAAUUACAGGGCAAAGAAGAGUCCAGUUAACUCUUUCCUUCCCUGAGACCGUGCCUCCUGUCCCUUUCCCUCUGCCUCCUGGUACCCGGCGCACACGUCUACCAUUGUACUUACCUGCUGACGCCUCCCUGAAGAGAACAUGCCACGUGUCUGAAGCCGUAAGCCAAGCACAGUAGCGAGCACAAGCGCAGGCCCAAGCGUCUGCUGAAUAAUGUGCAUGGAAACUUGAUGAAAACUUGUCACCAC
This 759-nucleotide long non-coding RNA is filed under the name Camelus dromedarius (Arabian camel). RNAcentral describes it as "lncRNA (ENSCDRG00005006700.1)". Lineage: Eukaryota; Metazoa; Chordata; Mammalia; Artiodactyla; Camelidae. The record is from RNAcentral.